GCAUUGAUGGGGUAGUGGUAACCUGGGUCGUUGCCAUUUCAAGUACUUGGUCAACUUCUCUCGACCCGCCGGGGGUUCGAUUCCCCCUUAAUGCA
Molecule: non-coding RNA, 95 nt
Organism: Lentinula lateritia
Lineage: Eukaryota; Fungi; Basidiomycota; Agaricomycetes; Agaricales; Omphalotaceae
Source: the annotation of a GenBank genome assembly